This 790-nucleotide ribosomal RNA is filed under the name Janira maculosa. RNAcentral describes it as "bacterial SSU rRNA". It matches the Rfam family "Eukaryotic small subunit ribosomal RNA", at positions 51 to 770 of the family's 1831-position model. Lineage: Eukaryota; Metazoa; Arthropoda; Malacostraca; Isopoda; Janiridae. The record is from RNAcentral.
AUGCAUGUCUAAGUACAGUAGCAAUUACAGUGAAACCGCGAAUGGCUCAUUAAAUCAGUCAUAAUUCCUUGGAUAGUGAUAAAACUUCCUCGGAUAACUGUGGAAAAUCCAGAGCUAAUACGUGCACCUGAGCUCCGACCUUGGCCGUUUCGGCGGUUGAGGGAAGAGCGCAAUUAUUAGUUUCAAAACUGACCGGCGCAAACGAGCUGUCCGCAGUGACGCGCGCCGUUCGUCUUUUUUGAUGACUCCGGAUAAUUCCGCCGAGCGCUAAGGUCUUCGUACCGGCGCCGUAUCUUUCAAGUGACUGCCUUAUCAGCUUUCGAUUGUAGGUUAAACGCCUACAAUGGCUGUAACGGGUAACGGGGAAUCAGGGUUCGAUUCCGGAGAGGGAGCCUGAGAAACGGCUACCACAUCUAAGGAAGGCAGCAGGCACGCAAAUUACCCACUCCCAGCUCGGGGAGGUAGUGACGAAAAAUAACGAUGCGAGACUCUUCCGAGGCCUCGCAAUCGGAAUGAGUCCAGUUUAAAUCCUUGGACGAGGAUCCAUUGGAGGGCAAGUCUGGUGCCAGCAGCCGCGGUAAUUCCAGCUCCAAUAGCGUAUAUUAAAGUUGCUGUGGUUAAAAAGCUCGUAGUUGGACCUUUUAAGGCUCCAUUAACGUGGUUUAGGUUCGCUCUUGGGCGUUCGUCGAGCGUAUCGGAUCAGGAGGGUGUCGUGUGCGUGUGUGUUCCUUUUAUUGCGCGAGCUUUAAUCGGGUCCUCGCGCGUGCGCUCUUUCCGCGAGAAACUCUCG